ACAAAUUAUAUCCUCUCAAAUAGGAGUAUCUCCAGACAACUCCCAACCCUAAAACUUUAAGAAGUGAUUCACUAGUCCUAAUCCUGAAAAAGAGGAAGGUGCAUGCCUCAUGCACUUGCUCAGCCCCAGAUUGUCCUGUAAUCAAACCCAGCCUGCAGCCUACUCAUACAAAAAUCCAUACCUGACCACAAUAUAGGCCAACUUAACGGAAGAACACAACUAAUAACAGAGCAGAAGAGAGAGAUGCAUACACUUGUUUCUUACAAAAUUUUGUAUUUUCACAAAAUAUUGCUUCAGCCAACAACUUAGGUAUCAAUUCUCGGUACUACUGCGUUUAGGUAUGUAAACCAUUUAGGAAUCCGACAUUUACCCAACAAUGUGGGUGGUCUCUCUUUCCAUGCACCACCAUACUAUCAAUAACACAUUUUGACACUUAGACAUCAAGCAACAACCUCAGAAUUUAAAAUAGAAGAUGCAACUCAGAUUACUGCAAAACCACACUCUACUGUUAAACUCCACUGUAACAUGGAAGAGUGACACCAGAAAUUUAGCAUUCAUGCAUGUUGUUAGGAACAAAAUCAAUCAUGACUCUGAUCUUCUCAAUCUAAUUCUUCCUCGGACCACAUUAAAAAUCCUAGUCUACCUUAGCCAAGACCAAUUGUCUGCAAUAUAAUAACUAGUACAAUCUUAACAUCAACCUAGUUGCACCGCAUAAAUCUACCCCUCAAAACCCCUCCUGAAUACAGUAUAUAUGAAUGACAAAGUGUGAACGUUGAUCUGGGUAAUUAUCUACACACUGUAUUUAAUUUUAAGGCAUUGGGAAAACAUGAAAUAAAUAUGGUGGAUGGUGCAAAUAUUAGUCUAAUUUUAAGAUCCUUAGGUUCUUCUCAGUAAGUGUUCAGCACGAGCUUAAAAUCUUAGAUCUAUAGUUCUUGAACCCCAACUAGUAAUAGAUUUCCCCGGCUCUCAAGAUCAUGACGUAACAUAUACUUAGGCCCUUAUUCUUUUCACCAGAUUGGACACAAGAUUCAAAGAAACAAACAACGUUAUACAGAUUCACAAACUGGGAGAAUAGUUCCAACCAUUGACUUUCGGAGGCUCAAAUUUGUUGACAAUAGAUAUGUAGUAGCAUCUUAACUAAAUGAUCAAUUUACCCAGCCAGAAAAGCCAAGUUGAAACAGAGAAAAGACUCAAGGUGGUCCAUCGUUCACAAGACCCUUAGGUUCUUCUGUCAAAUGUUCAGCACCAGCCUAAACUCCUGGAUCUAUAGUUCUUGAAUCGCAUUCAACGAUAGAUUUCCCCAUUUCUCAAGAUCAUGACAUACCAUAUGGUUAGACCCAUAUUCCUUGAUCAGAUUGGCACAGAAGAAUCAAGAAACUACACGAAUCGAUUUAAAAAAAAAAGCGUCGUACAGAUUUAUAAACUGGGAAUACAUCGUCAUGGCAGAAGAGAAUAAACUCCAAGAAAUAACAAGAACCAAGAAUAUGACCACAUAGCAUGGAAGAUUGGGUACCUCGUCCAGGUGUCCGGAUCGACCCAUUGGCGAUGGGGAGCCGCAUGGUGGGGGGAGAAACCCGAGACAUCUGCCUGCGAGAGAACCGACAUCCCCCCGCCCCCUUGCGCGGCAAGACCAGUGGAUCCGCGGUGGCGAUCGUACCCGGUUUCGCCCGCUCCUUCUUGGAUCCAAGGACGUCCGCAGAACUGCGAUCGAGGGAACUCGAAAGAGGGUUUCGAUCGAACAAACUUGGGUGGAUCGGAAAGCAACGAGGAGGGAAAAGGGAUGCAAACCGUUUAAAUCGUGACGACGCUAAUCUUUUUCCCUUCGAAUCCUCGUUUCUUUGCGUACGGAAAC
This 1852-nucleotide long non-coding RNA is filed under the name Musa acuminata (dwarf banana). RNAcentral's name for it is "long non-coding RNA (MACU_LNC004843)". Lineage: Eukaryota; Viridiplantae; Streptophyta; Magnoliopsida; Zingiberales; Musaceae. The record is from RNAcentral.